RNAcentral lists this ribosomal RNA (301 nucleotides) under uncultured bacterium. RNAcentral's name for it is "partial 16S ribosomal RNA". It matches the Rfam family "Bacterial small subunit ribosomal RNA", at positions 509 to 807 of the family's 1533-position model. The record is from RNAcentral.
CAGCAGCCGCGGGAAUACGUAGGGUGCAAGCGUUAAUCGGAAUUACUGGGCGUAAAGCGUGCGCAGGCGGUUAUAUAAGUCGGAUGUGAAAUCCCCGGGCUCAACCUGGGAACUGCAUUUGAGACUGUAUGGCUAGAGUGUGUCAGAGGGGGGUAGAACUCCACGUGUAGCAGUGAAAUGCGUAGAUAUGUGGAGGAAUACCGAUGGCGAAGGCAGCCCCCUGGGAUAACACUGACGCUCAUGCACGAAAGCGUGGGGAGCAAACAGGAUUAGAUACCCCCGUAGUCCCUGUCUCUUAUAC